ACUUUAUGCAGGUGGAGUUCUAAAUCUGGCCAUGGUUGAGAGUGUGGACAAUCAGAAGGUAGCAAAUCAUCUUGACCGUAUGGUAUCAACCCUUGGAAGAAAUCCUCUGAAGGUUUUGGUGCAAGUAAAUACAAGUGGAGAAGAAUCCAAAUCUGGCAUUGAUCCUUCCAAAUGUGAAGA
Long non-coding RNA from Glycine soja, 180 nucleotides. RefSeq lists it as uncharacterized. The transcript has 3 exons. The record is from RefSeq and is a predicted model, not a curated record. NCBI's taxonomy places the organism in Eukaryota, Viridiplantae, Streptophyta, Magnoliopsida, Fabales, Fabaceae.